GACCAUUAUCCGUGCAAAUCGAUUAAUCGGCAACCAUCUGGUCCCGAGCAGCCCGGAUUAUCGACGUUCUACUGUAUAUCUUAUUUUGUAUUUUCUUGGUUAUUUGUUAUGUAAGGGUUAUGAAUAGAAUACUCUAAUGAAUACAUUUUGAGUAUUGAAAAGAAUCUUUGUUGUGAAAUAAUGCUUAAAUAGAAGGUGCCCAUUUUGCCCCGCUUUUCCAUAUUAGUAAUUUAAUUCAUUUAUUUAGCGAUGCAACGCCUAAUCCCUAACUUAUUCCCCUAACAUCUGUCCUUAUCUGGUGUCGCCAAAAUUGGAAAUAAUUAAAAUAUUCUCUUUAAAUGCGUUGGUCGUUAAAUUAAAAUCAAAGUGAUAAAAAAAAUUCUUCGGGCAAUGGCAAUGGAUAUUCGAGUGGCUGAAGCGCAUCGUUUAAGCCAGUCGAGGAGUCGCCACAGAUGCGGAUGUUGCCAUUUGCCUUUCGUACAACUACGACCGGGGCUGCCCAUUCGGAAAAGUCUACGCGCGUGAUUAUAUUCAACUGUUCCAACCUAUCCAGCUCUUUGUUGAUCGUCUCAAUCAUGGCAUUAAUGAUAGGCCUUUUUGGACAAAAGACGGGUCGAGCGUCUUCCUUCAACUGCAAGUGGAUGCAGCUUUUGAUGGAUAGCCCCGUACCGCUAAAAACUGUCGGAAAUUUAGCAUGAAGACCCUUGGUAGCGAACUGAGACAAAAUUGAUCGAUGAGAUCAGCACCCAACAACAAAAUGUUUGCUCGCGUCACCCGAAUGACAGCUUCCCUCGUUUUACCUGCCAUUUCAAUGCUGGUUUCGAAUUUAUCGUCGAGUUGAAGCUCCUCACCCGAUGCUGCCCUAGCGUGGACCUCUGCCGGAACUAACGAUGGUUUGCCCAAUUGUUGCCACAACGGGCGACUGAUGACUGUUAUGUCCGACCCAGUGUCCAGCUGCAAGCUCAUGUGUUGACCAUACAUGGUCAGGUUGGCGUAUUUUCGUCUGUCGUUAACCCUACAUAUAAUUACAGUUACAACACGUGAUGUUACCUGCCGGAGCUUUCGAUAGUUGCGCUGUCGUCUUCUAGGUCUCGAUGUGCGGCAAAACCCUUCCCGAUAACCGAUUUUUCCAUAAUCGGACCACUUAUGGGAUUUGAAUUUGCAGUCUCUGGACCAAUGAAUCUCACCGCAUAACCAGCAGGGUUUCGAUGGUUUCGCCGAUGCUCCGGAAUCACCCGAUUUCUGCUUCUGGAAAUUAGCCAAUAACUAUAAGCCAAAUAAGCCAAUGAAAUAAGCCAAUAACUCGGAAGGAUAAAGCUGGUAUACCGUGAAUGGUCUGUCGUGCCUAGCUUACGAACGAGUAAACGAACUUUCGCCGCGUCAUCGAGUCGGGAGGCGUCCUGAAGGAUAAAGCUGGUAUACCGUGAAUGGUCUGUCGUGCCUAGCUUACGCACGAGUAAACGAACAAUCGCCGCGUCGUCGAGUCGGGAGGCGUCCUGCUUAAACAGGUCGUCGUAACAUGAAUACCAGGCGGAAAACGUAACGUCCGACACGGCCUCGUGCCGAAACUCUAAAAUGCUGCUCGCCAAAGCAUCCAUGGAGUCGAAUUCUAUCUUUGAACUGCGCUGAAGAUAUCUCAAAGUCCAAAAAAUCUAGCAGUGAACUCCGCAGACAUACAAAUCAUUGGGUCUGACCGACCAGCACUUGAUCGAAGUUUAUUCAAAUUGUCAGCCUGAUGGUUUCACAUGGUUUUCGUAGCUGGGCAUAACGGCAUUGGGGCCAGCCAUUCGUCGAAAAGCGAACCUUGUGAAACGCUUUUGGACCUUUUCAAAUCUUAAGAUCCAUCCAGAACGGACUGGACCAACGACCACUGAAGCGUAUUCCAAUGUUGAUCUAACUAAAGAACAAUAAAGUGACUUGAGGCAAAGUGGAUCACGAAAAUCUCUGCCGGUCGGGAGAGAAGAGAGCGACCUCUUUAUCCCGAAGCGCGUCGAUCGUGCUUUCACGCAUACGGUCGCCUAACAUCGGGCGCAUGACGAACUCUGUCAAGGCUUGUACAGGGUGGCUCCCAACAAUUAGCCCCAGCGUUCUAGAAGCACUUGCGACAACCGACUCUAAAUGUUCGUUUAGUGAUAAUUUAUCAUCCCAAGGGACGCCAAGAUCACGUAUAAGGGAGGUUCGAGACAGCACAGAAUUGGAGAGCGAAUAUUCGUAAUGGAUAGGGUUGCGGUUUUGACAGAAGGAUAUUACAGAGCAUUUUUCAGGGCAAAGACUUAGCUGGUUGUAGGAACACCAUAAAGAAAAUGAGUUAAGAAACUCCUGGAGCCGAAGGCAGUCACUGAGCGUUCUGAUAGUUAAAUAUAUUUUUAAAUCAUCAGCAUACAGUAAAUGACCUUCGGACGGGAGAAUUUCAUGAACAUCACUGACAAUAAGUACGAAUAAGAGAGGGCUCAAGACGCAGCCUUGUGGCACUCCAGAGGAGGGACAAAAGGACGAAGAAAAAGUAGUGUCGGUUUUUACACGAAUGGACCUGCUAUUUAAAAAAGAAUAAAGCCAGUUAAUUAACAUAUUAGAAAAACCAAGUUUUUUUUUUAGUUUUAACA
Long non-coding RNA from Anopheles merus, 2603 nucleotides. RefSeq lists it as uncharacterized. The record is from RefSeq and is a predicted model, not a curated record. The transcript has 4 exons. NCBI's taxonomy places the organism in Eukaryota, Metazoa, Arthropoda, Insecta, Diptera, Culicidae.